AUUGAACGCUGGCGGCAUGCUUUACACAUGCAAGUCGAACGGCAGCGCGGGCUUCGGCCUGGCGGCGAGUGGCGAACGGGUGAGUAAUACAUCGGAACGUGCCCAGUAGUGGGGGAUAGCUCGGCGAAAGCCGGAUUAAUACCGCAUACGACCUGAGGGUGAAAGCGGGGGAUCUUCGGACCUCGCGCUAUUGGAGCGGCCGAUGGCAGAUUAGCUAGUUGGUGGGGUAAAGGCCUACCAAGGCGACGAUCUGUAGCUGGUCUGAGAGGACGACCAGCCACACUGGGACUGAGACACGGCCCAGACUCCUACGGGAGGCAGCAGUGGGGAAUUUUGGACAAUGGGCGAAAGCCUGAUCCAGCAAUGCCGCGUGUGUGAUGAAGGCCUUCGGGUUGUAAAGCACUUUUGGCGGGAAGGAAAAGGACUGUGCCAAUACCACGGUUCGAUGACGGUACCCGCAGAAUAAGCACCGGCUAACUACGUG
Molecule: ribosomal RNA, 484 nt
Filed under: uncultured bacterium
Lineage: Bacteria
Description: partial 16S ribosomal RNA
Rfam family: Bacterial small subunit ribosomal RNA
Source: RNAcentral